RNAcentral lists this ribosomal RNA (197 nucleotides) under uncultured Gammaproteobacteria bacterium. Its description in RNAcentral is "partial 16S ribosomal RNA". It matches the Rfam family "Bacterial small subunit ribosomal RNA", at positions 337 to 525 of the family's 1533-position model. The record is from RNAcentral. Lineage: Bacteria; Pseudomonadati; Pseudomonadota; Gammaproteobacteria.
UCCUACGGGAGGCAGCAGUGGGGAAUAUUGGACAAUGGGCGCAAGCCUGAUCCAGCCAUGCCGCGUGUGUGAAGAAGGCCUUAUGGUUGUAAAGCACUUUAAGCGAGGAGGAGGCUACUGAGACUAAUACUCUUGGAUAGUGGACGUUACUCGCAGAAUAAGCACCGGCUAACUCUGUGCCAGCAGCCGCGGUAAUA